RNAcentral lists this ribosomal RNA (479 nucleotides) under uncultured bacterium. Its description in RNAcentral is "partial 16S ribosomal RNA". It matches the Rfam family "Bacterial small subunit ribosomal RNA", at positions 28 to 523 of the family's 1533-position model. The record is from RNAcentral.
GACGAACGCUGGCGGCGUGCUUAACACAUGCAAGUCGAACGGUAAGGCCCUUCGGGGUACACGAGUGGCGAACGGGUGAGUAACACGUGGGUGAUCUGCCCUGCACUUCGGGAUAAGCCUGGGAAACUGGGUCUAAUACCGGAUAGGACCACUGCCUGCAUGGGUGGUGGUGGAAAGCUUUUGCGGUGUGGGGAUGGGCCCGCGGCCUAUCAGCUUGUUGGUGGGGUGAUGGCCUACCAAGGCGACGACGGGUAGCCGGCCUGAGAGGGUGACCGGCCACACUGGGACUGGGAUACGGCCCAGACUCCUACGGGAGGCAGCAGUGGGGAGUAUUGCACAAUGGGCGCAAGCCUGAUUCAGCGACGCCGCGUGAGGGAUGACGGCCUUCGGGUUGUAAACCUCUUUCAGCACCGACGAAGCGCAGGUGACGGUAGGUGCAGAAGAAGGACCGGCCAACUACGUGCCAGCAGCCGCCGUAA